This is a non-coding RNA of Pelobates cultripes (western spadefoot toad), 236 nucleotides long. Lineage: Eukaryota; Metazoa; Chordata; Amphibia; Anura; Pelobatidae. The record is from the annotation of a GenBank genome assembly.
CUUUAGAAGUUUUAAUCUCCUGCUCUGUUGUAACCGUGGAAGCGUGCAGAAGCCGAACACAGAGAGAUGGACACAGGUAUUCAGGAAGUAAGAGGCCUUUAUUCACGUACCGAUCGGGUCUCAGAUGAACUCCUGUUCCAAAAAUAUGUGAGCCCUGAACACAUGGAGUACAUUCAUUAUAUAGCACUGUAGCUCCUCCCAUAAUUAGCUACGCCCACACAUACCCUUAACCUAAU